RNAcentral lists this ribosomal RNA (497 nucleotides) under uncultured bacterium. RNAcentral's name for it is "bacterial SSU rRNA". It matches the Rfam family "Bacterial small subunit ribosomal RNA", at positions 8 to 507 of the family's 1533-position model. The record is from RNAcentral.
AGAGUUUGAUCCUGGCUCAGGAUGAACGCUAGCGGAGGCCUAACACAUGCAAGCCGAGCGGUAGAGAUUCUUCGGGAUCUUGAGAGCGGCGUACGGGUGCGGAACACGUGUGCAACCUACCUUUAUCUGGAGGAUAGCCUUUCGAAAGGAAGAUUAAUACUCCAUAAUAUAUUGAUUGGCAUCGAUUGAUAUUGAAAGCUCCGGCGGAUAGAGAUGGGCACGCGCAAGAUUAGCUAGUUGGUGAGGUAACGGCUCACCAAGGCGAUGAUCUUUAGGGGCCUGAGAGGGUGAUCCCCCACACUGGUACUGAGACACGGACCAGACUCCUACGGGAGGCAGCAGUGAGGAAUAUUGGUCAAUGGGUGCAAGCCUGAACCAGCCAUCCCGCGUGAAGGACGACUGCCCUAUGGGUUGUAAACUUCUUUUGUAUAGGGAUAAACCUACCCUCGUGAGGGUAGCUGAAGGUACUAUACGAAUAAGCACCGGCUAACUCCGUG